Camelus ferus (Wild Bactrian camel) is the source of this 46-nucleotide non-coding RNA. Lineage: Eukaryota; Metazoa; Chordata; Mammalia; Artiodactyla; Camelidae. The record is from Rfam.
AAAAAGGCUUUAUUUGAAGCUAUUGAUAUAAACUUAAUUACAUUGU